UACGGGGGGAGCAAGCGUUGUUCGGAUUUACUGGGCGUAAAGGGCGCGUAGGCGGUCGUGACAAGUCACUUGUGAAAUCUCCGGGCUUAACUCGGAACGGUCAAGUGAUACUGUCGGACUAGAGUACAGAAGGGGCAACUGGAAUUCCUGGUGUAGCGGUGAAAUGCGUAGAGAUCAGGAAGAACAUCGGUGGCGAAGGCGCUCUGCUGGACCAUAACUGACACUCAGGGACGAAAGCUAGGGGAGCGAAUGGG
Molecule: ribosomal RNA, 254 nt
Filed under: uncultured bacterium
Lineage: Bacteria
Description: partial 16S ribosomal RNA
Rfam family: Bacterial small subunit ribosomal RNA
Source: RNAcentral